GAACGCUGGCGGCGUGCCUCAUACAUGCAAGUCGAACGCGAGGCUCCCCGCAAGGGGAGUAGUAGAGUGGCAAACGGGUGCGUAACACGUAGGUAAUCUGCCUUCGAGUUGGGGAUAAACCCUCGAAAGGGGGUCUAAUACCGAAUAACAUUUCGGGCCGGCAUCGGCUUGAAAUUAAAGAUGGCCUCUGCUUGCAAGCUAUCACUCGAAGAUGAGCCUGCGUCCGAUUAGUUAGNGGCGGGAUAAAAGCCCACCAAGACUCCGAUCGGUAGCCGGCCUGAGAGGGUGUCCGGCCACACUGGGACUGAGAUACGGCCCAGACUCCUACGGGAGGCAGCAGUAGGGAAUAUUGCGCAAUGGCCGCAAGGCUGACGCAGCAACGCCGCGUGGGGGAUGAAGGUUUUCGGAUCGUAAACCCCUGUCGAGAGGAAGAAGGUCAACUGGCAAAUAGCCUUUUGGCUUGACGGUACCUUUAGAGGAAGUUCCGGCUAACUCCGUGCC
RNAcentral lists this ribosomal RNA (501 nucleotides) under uncultured bacterium. RNAcentral describes it as "bacterial SSU rRNA". It matches the Rfam family "Bacterial small subunit ribosomal RNA", at positions 31 to 509 of the family's 1533-position model. The record is from RNAcentral.